UGAUGUCACUGAUAGGUGGUUUUCCCAGGGCGAGGCUUAUCCAUUGCACUCCAGAUGUGCUGACCCCUGCGAUUUUCCCAAAUGUGGGAAACUCGACUGCAUAAUUUGUGGUAGUGGGGGACUG
This is a non-coding RNA of Callorhinus ursinus (northern fur seal), 124 nucleotides long. The record is from RefSeq and is a predicted model, not a curated record. Lineage: Eukaryota; Metazoa; Chordata; Mammalia; Carnivora; Otariidae.